AACGCACCUUGCGCUCCUUGGUAUUCCGAGGAGCAUGCCUGUUUGAGUGUCAUUAAUAUAUCAACCUUCACUUGUUGAGUGGUUUGGAUGUGGGGGGGUUUGCUGGCCUCUUAAACGGUUCAGCUCCCCUGAAAUGCAUUAGCAGAACAACCCUGUUCAUUGGUGUGAUAACUAUCUACGCUAUUGAAUGUGAGGGGAAUUUCAGCUUUCUAACAGUCCUUGGACAAUUCAUUAUUAAUGUGACCUCAAAUCAGGUAGGACUACCCGCUGAACUUAA
RNAcentral lists this unclassified non-coding RNA (277 nucleotides) under uncultured fungus. Its description in RNAcentral is "partial contains 5.8S ribosomal RNA, internal transcribed spacer 2, and large subunit ribosomal RNA". The stretch from base 1 to 52 matches the Rfam family "5.8S ribosomal RNA", at positions 103 to 154 of the family's 154-position model. The record is from RNAcentral. RNAcentral also lists the same sequence under 1 other name. Lineage: Eukaryota; Fungi.